AGACAGCAGUCGCCGCGGUAAUACGUAGGGUACGAGCGUUAAUCGGAAUUACUGGGCGUAAAGCGUGCGCAGGCGGUUUUGUAAGACAGGCGUGAAAUCCCCGGGCUCAACCUGGGAAUGGCGCUUGUGACUGCAAAGCUAGAGUGCGGCAGAGGGGGAUGGAAUUCCGCGUGUAGCAGUGAAAUGCGUAGAUAUGCGGAGGAACACCGAUGGCGAAGGCAAUCCCCUGGGCCUGCACUGACGCUCAUGCACGAAAGCGUGGGGAGCAAACAGGAUUAGAUACCCGCGUAGUCCCUGUCUCUUAUAC
This 307-nucleotide ribosomal RNA is filed under the name uncultured bacterium. RNAcentral describes it as "partial 16S ribosomal RNA". It matches the Rfam family "Bacterial small subunit ribosomal RNA", at positions 506 to 807 of the family's 1533-position model. The record is from RNAcentral.